This 69-nucleotide transfer RNA is filed under the name Myotis frater. RNAcentral describes it as "tRNA-Trp". The record is from RNAcentral. Lineage: Eukaryota; Metazoa; Chordata; Mammalia; Chiroptera; Vespertilionidae.
AGGAGUUUAGGUUACCCUUAGACCAGAGGCCUUCAAAGCCUCCAGCAAAUAUGAUUUAUUUAACUCCUG